GGGUUUCCACAGCACACAUGCCAAAAAUGGAAUACUAUAGAGAAGAUAGCAUGGUCCUGCACAAAAAUGACAAGUGAAUUUGUGAAAAGUUCCACAUUUAA
This 101-nucleotide small nuclear RNA is filed under the name Zalophus californianus (California sea lion). Lineage: Eukaryota; Metazoa; Chordata; Mammalia; Carnivora; Otariidae. The record is from RNAcentral.